AGAAAAUAGAUACCCGGGUAGUCCACGCUGUAAACGAUGGGUACUAGGCUUGGUGGGUCUUGACCCCUGCCGAGCCGGAGCUAAACGCAAAUAAGUACCCCGCCUGGGAAGUACGGUCGCAAGACUAAAACCCAAAGGAAUUGACGGGGCCCGCACAAGCGGUGGAUCAUGUGGUUUAAUUCGAAGCAAACGCGAAGAACCUUACCUGGGUUUGACAUCUCCGGACCUCUGCAGAAAUGCAGCUUCGUAGCAAUACGACCGGAAGACAGGUGCUGCAUGGCUGUCGUCAGCUCGUGUGGUGACAUGUUGGGUUAAGUCCCGCAACGAGCGCAACCCUUGUCUUUAGUUGCCAGCAUUCAGUUGGGCACUCUAAAGAGACUGCCGUGGUGAACACGGAGGAAGGUGGGGAUGACGUCAAGUCCUCAUGGCCUUUAUAUCCAGGGCGACACACGUGAUACAAUGGACGGUACAGAGGGAAGCGAAAGGGUGACCUGGAGCCAAUCUCAAAAAAGCCGUUCUCAGUUCGGAUUGGAGUCUGCAACUCGAC
RNAcentral lists this ribosomal RNA (547 nucleotides) under uncultured bacterium. Its description in RNAcentral is "bacterial SSU rRNA". It matches the Rfam family "Bacterial small subunit ribosomal RNA", at positions 775 to 1316 of the family's 1533-position model. The record is from RNAcentral.